UACGUAGGAUCCGAGCGUUAUCCGGAUUUAUUGGGUUUAAAGGGUGCGUAGGCGGUCUGUUAAGUCAGGGGUGAAAGACGGUAGCUCAACUAUCGCAGUGCCCUUGAUACUGUUGGGCUUGAAUGGACUAGAGGUAGGCGGAAUGUGACAAGUAGCGGUGAAAUGCAUAGAUAUGUCACAGAACACCGAUUGCGAAGGCAGCUUACUAUGGUCCUAUUGACGCUGAGGCACGAAAGCGUGGGGAUCAAACAGG
RNAcentral lists this ribosomal RNA (253 nucleotides) under uncultured bacterium. RNAcentral's name for it is "partial 16S ribosomal RNA". It matches the Rfam family "Bacterial small subunit ribosomal RNA", at positions 524 to 776 of the family's 1533-position model. The record is from RNAcentral.